GGGUUGUGAGGUUAAGCGACUAAGCGUACACGGUGGAUGCCCUGGCAGUCAGAGGCGAUGAAGGACGUGCUAAUCUGCGAAAAGCGUCGGUAAGGUGAUAUGAACCGUUACAGCCGGCGAUGUCCGAAUGGGGAAACCCAGUGCAAUUCGUUGCACUAUCGUUAACUGAAUACAUAGGUUAACGAGGCGAACCGGGGGAACUGAAACAUCUAAGUACCCCGAGGAAAAGAAAUCAACCGAGAUUCCCCCAGUAGCGGCGAGCGAACGGGGAGCAGCCCAGAGUCUGAAUCAGCUUGUGUGUUAGUGGAACGGUCUGGGAAGUCCGACGGUACAGGGUGAUAGUCCCGUACACCAAAAUGCACAGGUUGUGAACUCGAAGAGUAGGGCGGGACACGUGGUAUCCUGUCUGAAUAUGGGGGGACCAUCCUCCAAGGCUAAAUACUCCUGACUGACCGAUAGUGAACCAGUACCGUGAGGGAAAGGCGAAAAGAACCCCGGCGAGGGGAGUGAAAAAGAACCUGAAACCGUGUACGUACAAGCAGUGGGAGCACCUUCGGGUGUGACUGCGUACCUUUUGUAUAAUGGGUCAGCGACUUAUAUUCUGUAGCAAGGUUAACCGUAUAGGGGAGCCGCAGGGAAACCGAGUCUUAACUGGGCGUUAAGUUGCAGGGUAUAGACCCGAAACCCGGUGAUCUAGCCAUGGGCAGGUUGAAGGUUGGGUAACACUAACUGGAGGACCGAACCGACUAAUGUUGAAAAAUUAGCGGAUGACUUGUGGCUGGGGGUGAAAGGCCAAUCAAACCGGGAGAUAGCUGGUUCUCCCCGAAAGCUAUUUAGGUAGCGCCUCGUGAACUCAUCUUCGGGGGUAGAGCACUGUUUCGGCUAGGGGGUCAUCCCGACUUACCAACCCGAUGCAAACUACGAAUACCGAAGAAUGUUAUCACGGGAGACACACGGCGGGUGCUAACGUCCGUCGUGAAGAGGGAAACAACCCAGACCGCCAGCUAAGGUCCCAAAGUCAUGGUUAAGUGGGAAACGAUGUGGGAAGGCACAGACAGCCAGGAUGUUGGCUUAGAAGCAGCCAUCAUUUAAAGAAAGCGUAAUAGCUCACUGGUCGAGUCGGCCUGCGCGGAAGAUGUAACGGGGCUAAACCAUGCACCGAAGCUGCGGCAGCGACACUAUGUGUUGUUGGGUAGGGGAGCGUUCUGUAAGCCUGCGAAGGUGGCCUGUGAGGGUUGCUGGAGGUAUCAGAAGUGCGAAUGCUGACAUAAGUAACGAUAAAGCGGGUGAAAAGCCCGCUCGCCGGAAGACCAAGGGUUCCUGUCCAACGUUAAUCGGGGCAGGGUGAGUCGACCCCUAAGGCGAGGCCGAAAGGCGUAGUCGAUGGGAAACAGGUUAAUAUUCCUGUACUUGGUGUUACUGCGAAGGGGGGACGGAGAAGGCUAUGUUAGCCGGGCGACGGUUGUCCCGGUUUAAGCAUGUAGGCGGAGGUUCCAGGUAAAUCCGGUACCUUUUAACGCUGAGGUGUGAUGACGAGGCACUACGGUGCUGAAGUAACAAAUGCCCUGCUUCCAGGAAAAGCCUCUAAGCAUCAGGUAACAUCAAAUCGUACCCCAAACCGACACAGGUGGUCAGGUAGAGAAUACCAAGGCGCUUGAGAGAACUCGGGUGAAGGAACUAGGCAAAAUGGUGCCGUAACUUCGGGAGAAGGCACGCUGGUGUGUAGGUGAAGUCCCUGCGGACGGAGCUGAGACCAGUCGAAGAUACCAGCUGGCUGCAACUGUUUAUUAAAAACACAGCACUGUGCAAACACGAAAGUGGACGUAUACGGUGUGACGCCUGCCCGGUGCCGGAAGGUUAAUUGAUGGGGUUAUCCGUAAGGAGAAGCUCUUGAUCGAAGCCCCGGUAAACGGCGGCCGUAACUAUAACGGUCCUAAGGUAGCGAAAUUCCUUGUCGGGUAAGUUCCGACCUGCACGAAUGGCGUAAUGAUGGCCAGGCUGUCUCCACCCGAGACUCAGUGAAAUUGAACUCGCUGUGAAGAUGCAGUGUACCCGCGGCAAGACGGAAAGACCCCGUGAACCUUUACUAUAGCUUGACACUGAACAUUGAGCCUUGAUGUGUAG
RNAcentral lists this ribosomal RNA (2124 nucleotides) under Klebsiella variicola. RNAcentral's name for it is "bacterial LSU rRNA". It matches the Rfam family "Bacterial large subunit ribosomal RNA", at positions 1 to 2141 of the family's 2925-position model. Lineage: Bacteria; Pseudomonadati; Pseudomonadota; Gammaproteobacteria; Enterobacterales; Enterobacteriaceae. The record is from RNAcentral.